AAAUAGAUACCCCGGGUAGUCCACGCCGUAAACGAUGAGUGCUAAGUGUUAGGGGGUUUCCGCCCCUUAGUGCUGCAGCUAACGCAUUAAGCACUCCGCCUGGGGAGUACGGUCGCAAGACUGAAACUCAAAGGAAUUGACGGGGGCCCGCACAAGCGGUGGAGCAUGUGGUUUAAUUCGAAGCAACGCGAAGAACCUUACCAGGUCUUGACAUCCCGCUGACCGGCCUAGAGAUAGGCUUUUCCCUUCGGGGACAGCGGUGACAGGUGGUGCAUGGUUGUCGUCAGCUCGUGUCGUGAGAUGUUGGGUUAAGUCCCGCAACGAGCGCAACCCUUGAUCUUAGUUGCCAGCAUUCAGUUGGGCACUCUAAGGUGACUGCCGGUGAUAAACCGGAGGAAGGUGGGGAUGACGUCAAAGUCAUCAUGCCCCUUAUGACCUGGGCUACACACGUGCUACAAUGGACGGUACAGAGGGUCGCAACCCCGCGAGGGUGAGCUAAUCCCAUAAAACCGUUCUCAGUUCGGAUUGUAGGCUGCAACUCGCCUA
Molecule: ribosomal RNA, 546 nt
Filed under: uncultured bacterium
Lineage: Bacteria
Description: bacterial SSU rRNA
Rfam family: Bacterial small subunit ribosomal RNA
Source: RNAcentral